RNAcentral lists this ribosomal RNA (434 nucleotides) under uncultured Clostridium sp. RNAcentral's name for it is "partial 16S ribosomal RNA". It matches the Rfam family "Bacterial small subunit ribosomal RNA", at positions 341 to 792 of the family's 1533-position model. The record is from RNAcentral. Lineage: Bacteria; Bacillati; Bacillota; Clostridia; Eubacteriales; Clostridiaceae.
ACGGAAGGCAGCAGUGGGGAAUAUUGCACAAUGGGGGAAACCCUGAUGCAGCGACGCCGCGUGAGUGAAGAAGUUAUUCGUAAUGUAAAGCUCUAUCAGCAGGGAAGAAAAUGACGGUACCUGACUAAGAAGCCCCGGCUAACUACGUGCCAGCAGCCGCGGUAAUACGUAGGGGGCAAGCGUUAUCCGGAUUUACUGGGUGUAAAGGGAGCGCAGGCGGCCAUGCAAGUCAGAAGUGAAAGCCCGGGGCUCAACCCCGGGACUGCUUUUGAAACUGUAAGGCUAGAUUGCCGGAGAGGUAAGCGGAAUUCCUAGUGUAGCGGUGAAAUGCGUAGAUAUUAGGAGGAACACCAGUGGCGAAGGCGGCUUACUGGACGGUAAAUGACGCUCAGGCUCGAAAGCGUGGGGAGCAAACAGGAUUAGAUACCCUGGUA